RNAcentral lists this transfer RNA (72 nucleotides) under Ovis aries (sheep). It matches the Rfam family "tRNA". Rfam says of the family: Transfer RNA (tRNA) molecules are approximately 80 nucleotides in length. Lineage: Eukaryota; Metazoa; Chordata; Mammalia; Artiodactyla; Bovidae. The record is from Rfam by way of RNAcentral.
UCCCUGGUGGUUCAGUGGUUAAGAAUUUGCCUUGCAAUGCAAGGUACACAGGUUCAAUCCCUGGUCAGGGAA